CCUGGGGAUGAAAAAAAAGGAAAAUGGGAGAGGGAAAAGUUACUUUUCAAGGUCAAAACGGGGAAAAAGAGGCUGCCACUCCAAAUGAAAAGGCCUCCUGUAAUUAAAAAUGCAUUCAACAACCUUUAUUAAUAAAUACAGAGUGGGGAGAAACUUGUGUGAGACCAAUCCCAGGCAGCACAGAAAUAUGUAAAUAUCUCAGCGUGGCUGGAUCUUGUAUCUCCAGAGAAUGAGGGCUUCUAUAAGUUUGCCCUUUCCAGACAGGCUCUUCAAGUAAGAAAACAAGAUUGAAUAUUUUAAUAGGAUGUACGAGGCCACGGAGCCGUAAGGAGGAUUCAAUCACAGCCUACGUGGGACUGUAAUUUAGUUUUCAUACAUUUUCUUGGACAGUACUUGAAAAACAAUGAAAAUGACCCAGCAACAAGAUUCCAAUUAAUAUCCCACGUGCAGCAAUUCUGAUAACGGGAGCAAAUUUCCCUUUAAAAAAAAAGAAAAAGAAAAAAAAGUGGGCCAAUGUUAUCUUUAAUUUUAGAAACAGAGUAACCUGAGCUGGGGGAGAGGUAUUUCUGCCUUGUUUUGUAUAAAUGCAUUUUCUGAAGCAGCAGCCUUUUGUCAGGGGCUGCACACACAGAGUGGGGUGUUGGUUACAUGGAGGGGUGGGAUUUUCCCUUCCAAGAACAGUAGCAACCCCAGGGUUAUGAGUGAGAACCAAGUGAUCCCAUUGCCUCAAACUACCCUAAAGGCAUUCUGGAAAACCCAAAGGGGAUUUGCUCCAGAACAGGCUCCCCUCUCCAGGUCUCCAGGCCCUUCUUCCUUACACAUUCACUCAUUUCUUACAUCCCCAGCAACGUGAGGAAGCUCAAACACAACGUGGGCACAUUGGGGGACCCUAAAAAAACCACCAAAGGCAGCAAGAGCUGCUGUGUUUGCAGAUAAAACCCCAGAGUGCUGUUCCUUUGCAGCCUGCCUCGGCCUUUCCCACUGCUGGAGAACCCAAGGAGGAGAAUUCCUCAGGUUUCUGUCCUCCUUUUGGUGGGUUUGACACUGUCCUGUGGGUACAGGAGUUCAGGGAUGGAUGCUGAAUUUGCUCCAAUCCCACAGAUUUUAAACAAACAGCCAUUUUUCAGGCGAGCAGGGCCCGGGGGGAUUUCGGGUGAGGAUUUGUCUCUGCUGGCAGAGGAGUGUUUUGCCAGCACAGACGGGUUGUGACGUGGACACCCCGGGUUUUGGGGGGCACAAGGGGCUCCCCUGCACCCCACAGCCUCAUCCUCCCAGGCACAGCAACCUCUGAUGAAGCAGAAAUCCCAGUUUGGAUAACACACCAUGGACAAACACCCCGGCAGAGUGACAGGAGGAGGAGGGAAACCAGCCUCUCCCCUCAGCAGGAUUUAACCAUGCAGAGAGUAAAACUCAUCAAUCCUCCAGGUUUAACCUUGUCUCUGUUUCAAUUCACCAGGAUAUGAACCAUCAAGACUUGAGCCACUGAGUUGUAACAACCCCACUGCAAAGUGUGUCACCUGCAGCUGGAGGAAAGGUGACUUUAGCACAAAGAGGGGCUGGAGGCAGCAUGUGCUGAGGAAUAACCUGUGCAGGUAAUUAAGAGUACUCACACCUCAGGUGGGGAGUGUGGAAGAGGCAGGUCGAUACAGGGGUCUUCCUUGAAUUAAAAUUUAACUUACCCUUUAUUGCAACCUACAAAAGCAAGUAAUGAGCACUAACAUUUUUAUUUCUUUUAAACUGUCAUUUAGGCUGUAGAGGGGAUAAUUACCUAUUUCCACUGUAGUAAGGUUUUAUCACCCUUAGUGAGGCAUUUUCUAAUUUAAUAUUUUUACUGUAUUAUCAUAAAACCUGUUUCUGGAAAAAAAUGAUCACGGACCACGGAGCCAUUUGCCAUAAAACAUGUGUGUGUAAGUACCUUGGCUUAAUUAUUUAUGCAUUUCUUCUGAGCUGGCUCCAGAGCCAGGGGACAGCACAGGCACCGUGUCACCUCCCCACCAUGAAAACUGGGCUUCUCAGGUCAACAAUAUUGUUUUAAAAUAUGAAAUAAAAGGAGCAGCUACUCCAGGUGGGGAGCCUGGUGUGCUAAAUGCCCAGUGGGCUUUUCCCUCCACUCCAAACCCCAGGUAUUGCUGCUACACACAUUUUGCAGGCAAAAUCCCUGCAACAGAGACCAAGGAAACACACACACAGACACACAGAGAGAGUGAAUAUUAAUUGCAACAGCACAUUUCAUAAAUCUGUACGAAUCUUCAACAUACACAUCACAAAAAUAAUUCUAAACAGAUCCCCAGGAAGGUGCUUUGCCCACCAAAUGUACAAAGGGAAACCAAACCUGCAUGUGGGAAAAGCCAAAGUAUUGUACCACUCUGUGUAAUUAUAGCCAUUUUUCUAAAUACAGGUCUGUGAACUAAUAGAAGAACAAUACUAGGGGGGAAAAUUCAGUUUCUGGUGGCUUUUUUUUUUUUUAUUAAAAUGGCAAUAGUGCUCUUCUAGUAAAAAUACCCUCCAACCAAUGUCUCUGCCUUCUCCCUUGUACCUUUUACUUCUCCUCUUCCUCUACCCAAA
Molecule: long non-coding RNA, 2565 nt
Organism: Neopelma chrysocephalum (saffron-crested tyrant-manakin)
Lineage: Eukaryota; Metazoa; Chordata; Aves; Passeriformes; Pipridae
Exons: 3
Source: RefSeq, a predicted model, not a curated record